UGUGAACUCCCCCAGGGCCGGAAGGCAGCAAGGGUCAACAGGCUCUGGCGGGUGCGCGGGGUCCCCUCAUGUC
This 73-nucleotide signal recognition particle RNA is filed under the name Pseudonocardia sp. KRD291. Its description in RNAcentral is "Pseudonocardia sp. KRD-291 partial signal recognition particle sRNA small type". It matches the Rfam family "Bacterial small signal recognition particle RNA", at positions 26 to 97 of the family's 97-position model. From Rfam's summary of the family: The signal recognition particle (SRP) is a universally conserved ribonucleoprotein involved in the co-translational targeting of proteins to membranes. Lineage: Bacteria; Bacillati; Actinomycetota; Actinomycetes; Pseudonocardiales; Pseudonocardiaceae. The record is from RNAcentral.